This 497-nucleotide ribosomal RNA is filed under the name uncultured bacterium. RNAcentral's name for it is "partial 16S ribosomal RNA". It matches the Rfam family "Bacterial small subunit ribosomal RNA", at positions 28 to 507 of the family's 1533-position model. The record is from RNAcentral.
GAUGAACGCUGGCGGCGUGCCUAAUACAUGCAAGUCGAGCGAACAGACGAGGAGCUUGCUCCUCUGACGUUAGCGGCGGACGGGUGAGUAACACGUGGAUAACCUACCUAUAAGACUGGGAUAACUUCGGGAAACCGGAGCUAAUACCGGAUAAUAUAUUGAACCGCAUGGUUCAAUAGUGAAAGACGGUUUUGCUGUCACUUAUAGAUGGAUCCGCGCCGCAUUAGCUAGUUGGUACGGUAACGGCUUACCAAGGCAACGAUGCGUAGCCGACCUGAGAGGUUGAUCGGCCAUACUGGAACUUAGACACGGACCACACUCCUACGGGAUGCAGCAGUAGGGAAGCUGCCGCAAUGGGCGAAAGCCUGACGGAGCACCGCCGCGUGAGUGAUGAAGUUCUUCGGAUCGUAAACCUCUGUUAUUAGGGAAGAACAAAUGUGUAAGUAACUAUGCACGUCUUGACGGUACCUAAUCAGAAAGCCACGGCUAACUACGUG